GGCCUGAGCUGACAGGCAGAGGUGGAGAGGGUCAGUCCCCAUCGACAGAAGCAAAGAGAUCGUCCUGGGGCAGUUUGCACGCUGAUGGCCCAAGGUCCGCGACCCAGGUUCGCUUGAGUCUCUAUCAGAGGGCAAGCUCAAACUGUUCCUUCCAUUUUGGGACCAGGGAACAGAGCUCACUUAAUGCUGCUCUCCCACUGAUGAUGCCCACCCAUUCUCGGCCUGCAAGCCCUACCACUCACAGCUUCAAAAAUGGCUCCGCCCUUCCUGAUUCCACCCCACACAGAAGAAAGCAACUUCUUGUGAUGCUUCCUUAUUCUGGAUGUGGCUCACCUCUUACCCCUUCCAACUCCUUUGGGUCCCCUAGAAAGCCUCCCUGGCUAAGGGGUACAGGCCCUCUCCUCAGCAGUGGGCACUGACCGUCUAACCAGGGCUCUGUCUCGGCACCUGGUAGCAAGGACGGCAAGAUACAACAACAUGCUGAUUUUAAUAGCCUCUGGCUUUCUCCACUGCGUUUCUCACCUGAAUGCCCUGCACACCAAAUCUUCCAUGGGGUCACCCUUGACCUCUAGGGCAAUUCCCAAGAAUCUAGCAGAGGAGUGGGGGAAACCAAAAGGCUGACAUGAAGGACUCAAGGGAAGCCUCUGGAAAGAAGAGACCAGACACUAAAAGGGAUGUGUGUGAAAUACUGGUUUUUAUUGGUUGGCACAAGAUUACAACCUACAAUUUCAAUGCCCUUCCCUCCCACACAGCUCAAAUGGAAGGAAACUGAUUAACACAUAGAAAGGAACGGCAGGCUCACAGGUUUAAGCAUUUGUUUUUACAAAAAGGAGUGGGAUAUGGGGGUGGUCAAGUUUUACGGGUAAUAACAACAUUCUCUCUAGAUGGCAGGGGGUAAGUCUGCCUGUCCUCCAUUGCUGGUACCACAUAAGGGAUACAUUAGUAAAGUAGGGAAAGGGUUAUAUGUGUGGCUGGCCUGUUCUUUAGAGAGGAAGGUGGGAUGGUAUCUGCUGUGUACCUGUCUCAGACCAAACCUGGGGCUGGACCAGUGCCCCUUUCUUCUCAGCCCUCCUCCACAGCCUGACUGUACUGCCAGCCGCACCCAUGAGAAGGAGGUGUGAAGGAAGCCUGAGGACAUCCACCUCGAGAAAAGGAAACAGGAAAACUAUUUCCUUCCGCCUUCUCUGGACCAAAUUUCACUCCCCUCAGCUCCAGAGAGUGCUGCAAAAAUCUUCCUUAGGGACGCUGUGAAGACACGGGGAAGAGGCCAGCCCUGAGCGGGCAAGAAGAAAAGCUUGAACUUUCCAUGCAGUACCAAGCAAGGCUAUUUUGGAAACAAGCAAACAAACAAAAAAUGGAAACCAACACCAUAUAACCACAGGUUGGGUAGCUCCUAAAUCCUGGACAGCAUUUGGAUUGGGGGUAAGGGCAAUUUUACUCCAGCUCCUUGUUUUAUAACCCGCACAAGGUGCCAAGAGGUUUAAGGACCACAACUGACCUCUCUUUCCCUACAAGCACCAUUCCUUGGAUUCCCAGUUUUGUUGAGCUCAUUUGAGGUCAUCCUUGCCAUCCUCUUAAAAAAUGACACAGCCUCUUGGUUAUUCCAUUUUCUAUCCCUUUCUACAAUUAUGAACACACUCUCUAAACAGGAGAUCUAUAUAUGCUCUCAUCCUGCAACCCAAGAGAUUAGGUGACCUAAUGAUGAGAAGGCUAACUUAUUUGCUUUCCUGGGUGGUCCUGAUGGAAAUGAACAGCAGCAGAGUUCUGGUGGGAUAGAGCAGUCUAGUCUGAGCCACUGUGUGAUUCCCCAGGGGACUGGUCCCUGGGUACAUGGGUCCCUGGCUCUCUGUCUCAGUUCCACAGAUAUUACUCAACUUGGCCAUUUACGCCUCAGCUAAAACAUAUGAGCAUGAGGGAAAAGGGACAAGAAAUACUUUUGUCCUCUAGAAAAACUUAACUCAAUACAUCUUGGCUACUUUGCCUCAACCCACGGGGUUCCCUGGAAACAUUUGUUGAACUUGGCCAAGAGGAGAUUGUAUAUGGAUGGCACACCUGGAAAAGGGGAGAAAGCACACUAGUUCAUCUCUUUUAUAAGUAGAAUGGUCCCAGGGAUGUUAACCUUUCUGAUGCUGAUAGUAGAUGAGUGGAGUGGAGGUAAUCGUGAGAAAACUUAAAAACCCUUAAGCUGUUUGGAGACUACACACCACAGUGGAGCAAACCAAGGUGGGGCCUCACUGCCUCCUCAGAGCCCAUCCCUGACCAUGUCAUUGGAUAGGAUGGAAGACAAAGUCUUUGAAAUGGAGGCUGGGCUGGCAAAAGUGAUAUCCCAAGUGACACAGAAACACAGCUCCUCCGGAUGGUGAAGUCUCCGCUGCAAAACUCACGAAACAGCACAGAGGAUGACUCUAGGGUGCUCUCCCACUUGCUCCAAGUUAGGCAGGUGCCCUGAUGGAGGCAAGGCUGAGCCAUUAACAUGCACAGCUCCAUAUCCUGGAAGCCUCUGUAGCCUUGAGGAGAUAGGCUCUAUCCAACAGGACUCAGAAUAAAUGACUGCCACCUCAACUGAGCAGUAUGAACUGCCCACCUCAACUGGGCAGUCUGACCUCUUCCACAGUCUUUAAGAAACAGAAGAGCCAUUUGCAUUAUUUAAUCACCAUUCAAUAAUCUCCUCCCUCCCCAUAGCUGCUUGAGUUAACUGUCCCACAAGUGUCCUGUGUUUUGUAAAGAUGAGGGUUAUUUUCUGAAAUGCAGAUGGGACUAGGAUGAAGCUGUAUUAUCAAUUACAGAGACAGCCAACUCUCAUUUCUCUUAAAGCAAAAAUUCAUUCCACUGUGAUUUCUCCAGGUAUUUCCUGCAAUUCUAAAUCCGCCCUUGAUAUUAGAGAAUAUUAAAAUCACAC
Long non-coding RNA from Homo sapiens (human), 2899 nucleotides. Lineage: Eukaryota; Metazoa; Chordata; Mammalia; Primates; Hominidae. The record is from Ensembl.